This is a long non-coding RNA of Pezoporus flaviventris, 439 nucleotides long. RefSeq lists it as uncharacterized. NCBI's taxonomy places the organism in Eukaryota, Metazoa, Chordata, Aves, Psittaciformes, Psittacidae. The transcript is spliced from 3 exons. The record is from RefSeq and is a predicted model, not a curated record.
UGCCCCAUAGGACAAUGGGGGCUGGACCCCCAUCAUCUGGGCUGCGGAGCACAAGCACAUCGAGGUCAUCCGGCGCCUGCUCACCCGUGGGGCGGACGUCACCCUCACCGACAACGAGGAGAACAUCUGCCUGCACUGGGCCUCCUUCACGGGCAGCGCUGAGAUCGCCCAGGUCCUCCUGGAUGCUCGCUGCGACCUCCACGCCGUCAACUGCCAUGGGGACACCCCCCUGCACAUCGCCGCCAGGGAGAGCUACCACGACUGCGUGCUGCUGUUCCUGUCCCGUGGGGCAGACCCCGAGCUCCGCAACAAGGAGGGUGACUCCCCCCUAGAGCUGACCCCCGAGCGCUCCGAUGUGUGGGUCUCGCUCCAGCUCACCCGCAAGCUGCGCCAGGGGGCCCUGGCCCGGGGGCUGCGCACCGAGCGCAUCGUCAGCAGG